This 481-nucleotide ribosomal RNA is filed under the name uncultured bacterium. RNAcentral's name for it is "partial 16S ribosomal RNA". It matches the Rfam family "Bacterial small subunit ribosomal RNA", at positions 28 to 507 of the family's 1533-position model. The record is from RNAcentral.
GAUGAACGCUGGCGGCGUGCCUAACACAUGCAAGUCGAACGGAGAUUACGGACGGAAGUUUUCGGAUGGAAGCCUGUAAUUCUUAGUGGCGGACGGGUGAGUAACGCGUGGGCAACCUGCCCUAUACAGGGGGAUAGCAGCUGGAAACGGCUGGUAAGACCGCAUAAGUCGGUUAAAUCGCAUGAUUUGAUCGGGAAAUGAGCAAUCAGGUAUAGGAUGGGCCCGCGUCCGAUUAGCCAGUUGGCAGGGUAAAAGCCUACCAAAGCGACGAUCGGUAGCCGGACUGAGAGGUCGGACGGCCACAUUGGGACUGAGACACGGCCCAAACUCCUACGGGAGGCAGCAGUGGGGGAUAUUGCACAAUGGAGGAAACUCUGAUGAAGCGACGCCGCGUGAGUGAAGAAGUAUUUCGGUAUGUAAAGCUCUAUCAGCAGGGAAGAUGAUGACGGUACCUGACUAAGAAGCCCCGGCUAACUACGUG